GUUAGAUUGGCCGAGUGGUUAAGGCGGUAGAUUUAAGAAGGCCUCGAGCCAUCUAAAUACUCUACUGACGAAAGUCUCGCGUGUUCGAACCGCGCAUCUAACA
This is a non-coding RNA of Poronia punctata, 103 nucleotides long. Lineage: Eukaryota; Fungi; Ascomycota; Sordariomycetes; Xylariales; Xylariaceae. The record is from the annotation of a GenBank genome assembly.